UACGUAGGGGGCAAGCGUUGUCCGGAUUUAUUGGGCGUAAAGAGCGUGUAGGCGGUCAGGUAGGUCCGUUGUGAAAACUCGAGGCUCAACCUCGAGACGCCGAUGGAAACCAUCUGACUAGAGUCCGGAAGAGGAGAGUGGAAUUCCUGGUGUAGCGGUGAAAUGCGCAGAUAUCAGGAAGAACACCGGUGGCGAAGGCGGAUCUCUGGGCCAGUACUGACACUGAGGAGCGAAAGCGUGGGUAGCAAACAGG
This 253-nucleotide ribosomal RNA is filed under the name uncultured bacterium. RNAcentral describes it as "partial 16S ribosomal RNA". It matches the Rfam family "Bacterial small subunit ribosomal RNA", at positions 524 to 776 of the family's 1533-position model. The record is from RNAcentral.